Molecule: long non-coding RNA, 318 nt
Organism: Amphimedon queenslandica
Lineage: Eukaryota; Metazoa; Porifera; Demospongiae; Haplosclerida; Niphatidae
Exons: 3
Source: RefSeq, a predicted model, not a curated record
AUAUCACUACUAGAUCUACUACUACACAACUGCUCCCUACUAUCACACAACUCACACCUGUUUUAACAAAUCUUCAUAUCGGUAUUGGUAUCACAGGAACAUUUAUUGGUGUUAUUAUUAUACUCAUAAGUUUGAUUAUUCUUGUCGUUAUAUACAAAAGGAAGUCAUGCAGGUUAACCUCAGUACAGCAACAAGGGGUACCUACUGCAUAUAAUGAAGCAUAUCAGUGUCCACAUGACAUAAUGAUCAAUGAUACUCCUACAUGUGAGCCUACAUAUGAAGAAAUAGGAGAAAACAGGACAGGAGCAGCAGUUAACA